GCGCCUAUAGCUUAAUGGAUAGAGUAGCGGCUUGCGGAGCCGUUGAUCCCAGUUCGACUCUGGGUAGGCGCACCA
RNAcentral lists this transfer RNA (75 nucleotides) under Candidatus Woesebacteria bacterium RBG_13_46_13. Its description in RNAcentral is "tRNA-Arg". It matches the Rfam family "tRNA". From Rfam's summary of the family: Transfer RNA (tRNA) molecules are approximately 80 nucleotides in length. Their secondary structure includes four short double-helical elements and three loops (D, anti-codon, and T loops). Further hydrogen bonds mediate the characteristic L-shaped molecular structure. tRNAs have two regions of fundamental functional importance: the anti-codon, which is responsible for specific mRNA codon recognition, and the 3' end, to which the tRNAs corresponding amino acid is attached (by aminoacyl-tRNA synthetases). tRNAs cope with the degeneracy of the genetic code in two manners: having more than one tRNA (with a specific anti-codon) for a particular amino acid; and 'wobble' base-pairing, i.e. permitting non-standard base-pairing at the 3rd anti-codon position. Lineage: Bacteria; Candidatus Woeseibacteriota. The record is from RNAcentral. RNAcentral also lists the same sequence under 2 other names.